UGCAUCGGCCGGGAAUCGAACCCGGGCCACCCGCGUGGCAGGCGAGCAUUCUACCACUGAACCUCCAAUGC
This 71-nucleotide transfer RNA is filed under the name Cordylochernes scorpioides. Its description in RNAcentral is "tRNA-Gly". The record is from RNAcentral. Lineage: Eukaryota; Metazoa; Arthropoda; Arachnida; Pseudoscorpiones; Chernetidae.